RNAcentral lists this ribosomal RNA (252 nucleotides) under uncultured bacterium. RNAcentral describes it as "partial 16S ribosomal RNA". It matches the Rfam family "Bacterial small subunit ribosomal RNA", at positions 524 to 776 of the family's 1533-position model. The record is from RNAcentral.
UACGGGGGGAGCAAGCGUUGUUCGGAUUUACUGGCGUAAAGGGCGCGUAGGCGGCCAGCACAAGUCAGUUGUGAAAUCUCCGAGCUUAACUCGGAAAGGUCAACUGAUACUGUGCGGCUAGAGUGCGGAAGGAGCAACUGGAAUUCUUGGUGUAGCGGUGAAUGCGUAGAUAUCAAGAGGAACACCUGCGGCGAAGGCGGGUUGCUGGGCCGACACUGACGCUGAGGCGCGAAAGCCAGGGGAGCGAACGGG